Long non-coding RNA from Osmerus eperlanus (European smelt), 796 nucleotides. RefSeq lists it as uncharacterized. The transcript is spliced from 3 exons. Lineage: Eukaryota; Metazoa; Chordata; Actinopteri; Osmeriformes; Osmeridae. The record is from RefSeq and is a predicted model, not a curated record.
GAGAAGAUGGAGUGAAGAACACUUUAUGUAAGUACAUUGAGACAGAUACAUCGUCUGGGAAGAGGGCGUCAUGUCCAUAGCACACCACAUUAGUUUUGUAGGCUGAACGAUUGGGAGAUAGAAAGUUAGAGUUAGAACAUUUGUUAAACGUUUCACUUCAACCUUACAAUUCACGUAAAUCUCACCAUGGCAGAUACUGAGAACGCUCAGAAGGAUCCAAGGCAGCAUGAUCUCUACCGGACACAGGGAAAUAGACAACGUCGUGAAUGAUGCAGGCCCUAACCCUAUUUCCCACAUGACUAUGAGGCUGAACCAAACGAAGGGGUGGACCCCUCUCUACAGUUGUCUAACUGUCAAGACUGCAUGAAGGCUGCCUUCAAUUUGGCUGGGGACAGCAGAUGAAAAUUAGCCUCUCUGACUCACUCUGGCUCACUCUGGCUAACUUACAGUUUUGCUGUUGAUUGGUGUGCAUUGUACCUGCAAAAUAAAAUAAUUUUAUUUUUAUAGAAUGUUUGUACUUGAGUAUUGAAUCACAUGCAAAUUCACAGCGACCGCCAGGGCCCAAAUCCAGACAAGCCGGGUGGUCAUGUCAGUUUGUUGUUAAAACACACACUAAGCCAAAAAAACACAUUUGUCUGUAAAACACAAGUAAUUAACUGGCGGUCUGUUAUCAACCAUUGUAGUUUAAAAUGCACGUAAUUUGAUGUUGAGUUCAACAACCGCAUUAACCCUGAGAGACCCCUUGUUGUAAAAUUACAACGUCACCUUUAGCUCUUUAAUUUCCAAUUUCUUUUUU